This is a long non-coding RNA of Etheostoma cragini (Arkansas darter), 159 nucleotides long. RefSeq lists it as uncharacterized. Lineage: Eukaryota; Metazoa; Chordata; Actinopteri; Perciformes; Percidae. The record is from RefSeq and is a predicted model, not a curated record. The transcript is spliced from 2 exons.
UGAGCUUUCAUUUUCUCAAAGGCAGAGCAGGAAACGCAGGGGUCGGUUUACACCUAUCGCCAUUUUGAGCCACCGGGGGACCAUAGGUAGGCUCGGGGAAUGCAUAUUAAUGUUAAAAUAACUCAUAAAGGGAAAUUUUCAUGCCAUGGGCCCUUUAAA